This 597-nucleotide ribosomal RNA is filed under the name uncultured bacterium. RNAcentral describes it as "bacterial SSU rRNA". It matches the Rfam family "Bacterial small subunit ribosomal RNA", at positions 341 to 929 of the family's 1533-position model. The record is from RNAcentral.
ACGGGAGGCAGCAGUAGGGAAUCUUCGGCAAUGGGGGGAACCCUGACCGAGCAACGCCGCGUGAGUGAAGAAGGUUUUCGGAUCGUAAAGCUCUGUUGUUAAGGAAGAACGAGUGUGAGAAUGGAAAGUUCAUACUGUGACGGUACUUAACCAGAAAGGGACGGCUAACUACGUGCCAGCAGCCGCGGUAAUACGUAGGUCCCGAGCGUUGUCCGGAUUUAUUGGGCGUAAAGCGAGCGCAGGCGGUUAGAUAAGUCUGAAGUUAAAGGCAGUGGCUCAACCAUUGUAGGCUUUGGAAACUGUUUAACUUGAGUGCAGAAGGGGAGAGUGGAAUUCCAUGUGUAGCGGUGAAAUGCGUAGAUAUAUGGAGGAACACCGGUGGCGAAAGCGGCUCUCUGGUCUGUAACUGACGCUGAGGCUCGAAAGCGUGGGGAGCGAACAGGAUUAGAUACCCUGGUAGUCCACGCCGUAAACGAUGAGUGCUAGGUGUUAGGUCCUUUCCGGGACUUAGUGCCGCAGCUAACGCAUUAAGCACUCCGCCUGGGGAGUACGACCGCAAGGUUGAAACUCAAAGGAAUUGACGGGGGCCCGCACAAG